AUGAACGCUGGCGGCGUGCUUAACACAUGCAAGUCGAACGGUGAAAGAGAGCUUGCUCUCUGGAUCAGUGGCGAACGGGUGAGUAACACGUGGGUGAUCUGCCCUGCACUCUGGGAUAAGCCUGGGAAACUGGGUCUAAUACUGGAUAUGACCUGCUCUCGCAUGGGGGUGGGUGGAAAGAUUUAUCGGUGCAGGAUGGGCCCGCGGCCUAUCAGCUUGUUGGUGGGGUAAUGGCCUACCAAGGCGACGACGGGUAGCCGACCUGAGAGGGUGACCGGCCACACUGGGACUGAGACACGGCCCAGACUCCUACGGGAGGCAGCAGUGGGGAAUAUUGCACAAUGGGCGAAAGCCUGAUGCAGCGACGCCGCGUGAGGGAUGAAGGCCUUCGGGUUGUAAACCUCUUUCAGCAGGGACGAAGCGUGAGUGACGGUACCUGCAGAAGAAGCACCGGCUAACUACGC
Molecule: ribosomal RNA, 464 nt
Filed under: uncultured bacterium
Lineage: Bacteria
Description: bacterial SSU rRNA
Rfam family: Bacterial small subunit ribosomal RNA
Source: RNAcentral